UUUUAUAUCUGAAAGAAACGAGACGCGUUCUACAAUCAGAACACGACGGGGGGGAGGGGUUCCGACAUGAAACUGUGUGUUCUAGAAUGUUCUAGUCUCAGGUGUUCUAGAAUGUUCUAGUCUCAGGUGUUCUAGAAUGUUCUAGAAUGUGUAGCUGUGUAUUUUAGGUUCUAGAACAGUGGUGGAAUGUGGUGAUAUGAACGAGAUCUUCUAGAGUCCCAGCUUCCAGACGGAGAACGCACGCAGUCCAAACAAACAGAUUUCAAAAUAAGAGUCUCUGUCUUGCUAGAACCUAAAGAUGAAAGUAAAACGUGCU
Molecule: long non-coding RNA, 316 nt
Organism: Sebastes umbrosus (honeycomb rockfish)
Lineage: Eukaryota; Metazoa; Chordata; Actinopteri; Perciformes; Sebastidae
Exons: 2
Source: RefSeq, a predicted model, not a curated record